Long non-coding RNA from Fukomys damarensis (Damara mole-rat), 1394 nucleotides. RefSeq lists it as uncharacterized. The record is from RefSeq and is a predicted model, not a curated record. Lineage: Eukaryota; Metazoa; Chordata; Mammalia; Rodentia; Bathyergidae. The transcript has 3 exons.
GGCGAGUGGGCGUGGCUCCGGCUGCCCGGUGGGCUGUCAGCGUGUGUCCUGGUCAGAAGACCAGAAGCAGCCAGCAAAUAGUAAACUGAGGGUGCAUUUUAAAAAGAAAAAAAGUCAAGAGAGAAAUCACGCAUACGGAAUAUUUAUUGAAAGAAAUGAUGAACGUAAAGUCAAAUAGUGAGCCAGGCAGGAUCUGAGGCAGGAAGAUUGCAAGUUAGAGCGGAGGACAGUUUACCAACCUAGCGAGACCCUGUGUCAAGAUAGAUAGAUAAACAGACAGACGGAAAUGUAGCUAAUAGUCCUGGUUUCAAUCCUCAGUACUGAGGGGAGGAAAGAGGCAUUAACAAAAAUGAAAAUUAGUUCAUUGGUUUUCUUUACCGUGGCUUUGAAGCUAGAAGGAUGAAGAGCUGACUCUCCAAACAUUGGACCAAAGAAACACCCUGUGUCGAGUCUCAGUAAGGAACCAGAGAGGAAAGAAAGGCACCAUGCUGAGAGCAGAUUUCCUUGGCGAGGCCCCUCUGCCAGCCCCUGCCUGAGAGCCAGCCGGUUAAGGACUGGAACCCUACACUCUGAAAUGUUCUCAGAUGUGAACACUCCAGACUCCACACAUACAUGGAAUUGAGCUGGCGAAUCUCACCGAGCCAGCACGCACACCAGGAAGGACAGCGUAUACAAAACACACAGGGCCUGCGAACCACAGACCCGGCACCUUGCUGUCCCUCUGAGGCCGACAGCAGUUGCCCCUGGGAAAUUUUCUCUUUCCCAAUGCUGUGUGACCUUGGAAUCAGGCUUGCUUUCUUGCUUUCAUUCGUUCUUUCUCUUUUUUAUCAUUAUUGCUCCAUCCACGUGCAAAGCCCCUAGUGAUGCCAUUUGGAACAUUUUUGGCCUUCAUUCUAUUUUACUUUAAGAACCAGAUUCAGCUUAAGUUUUUUUUUUUGUUUGUUUGUUUUUUCAAUGCAGCUCUCUUAGCAAGAGGGUGAAACAGCUGGUUUCUGUUAUUUGUUUUGUGGAAUUUUCAGCAGAUUCAAGGUUCAAACACAAAAGAAGAUUUGUAAUGCUGUUGCCUUAAUGAUGAUGGUGCCGGUAAUGACAGUAUCUCAUUUUGUAGCAUAUUAUCCAGAUGAUCUCCCUCACUCCUCAUAACUCUAGGAGAAAUUUAUUAUAGUCUGCACCAUGCAUGGUCAAACAUAAGCCAAGAAGUUCUUCUAAGCAGAGAAUUGGAAGGCAGAAUAAUGCCAGCCGAUAAAGGACAAUUAUGUUGUUUUUCCCUGAGUGCCACAUUAACACACAAAUGUUCAAGUAAAUUCGGUUUCCUAGUUUUUCUACCAGGUUCACAUAGCAACAAGAACACAUAUCUCGUGCACUGAAAAAUAAAAAUUGUGACAUGCUUUAAA